AUCAACUUUCGAUGGUAGGAUAGAGGCCUACCAUGGUGGUGACGGGUGACGGAGAAUUAGGGUUCGAUUCCGGAGGGGGAGCCUGAGAAACGGCUACCACAUCCAAGGAAGGCAGCAGACGCGCAAAUUGCCCAAUCCCGACACGGGGAGGUAGUGACAAUAAAUAACAAUACAGGGUUCUUUUGGAUCUUGUAAUUGGAAUGAGUACAAUUUAAAUCUCUUAACGAGGAACAAUUGGAGGGCAAGUCUGGUGCCAGCAGCCGCGGUAAUUCCAGCUCCAAUAGCGUAUAUUAAAGUUGUUGCAGUUAAAAAGCUCGUAGUUGAAUUUCGGGAUCAAUAUUUCGGUCAUGCCGUUGGUAUGCACUGUUAUCAUUGAUUUCUCACCUUCUAAAGAACCGUAAUGCCAUUAAUUUGGUGUUACGGGGAAUUAGGACUGUUACCUUGAAAAAAUUAGAGUGUUUAAAGCAGGCAUUUUGCUUGAAUACAUUAGCAUGGAAUAAUAAAAUAGGACGGCAUGAUUCUAUUUUGUUGGUUUCUAGGAUCACCGUAAUGAUUAAUAGGGAUAGUUGGGGGCAUUAGUAUUCAAUUGUCAGAGGUGAAAUUCUUGGAUUUAUUGAAGACUAACUACUGCGAAAGCAUUUGCCAAGGAUGUUUUCAUUAAUCAAGAACGAAAGUUAGGGGAUCGAAGACGAUCAGAUACCGUCGUAGUCUUAACCCAUAAACUAUGCCGACUAGGGAUCGGAUGAUGUUAAUUUUUUAAUGACUCUGUUUG
This 772-nucleotide ribosomal RNA is filed under the name Funneliformis sp. RNAcentral's name for it is "SSU rRNA". It matches the Rfam family "Eukaryotic small subunit ribosomal RNA", at positions 314 to 1083 of the family's 1831-position model. The record is from RNAcentral. Lineage: Eukaryota; Fungi; Glomeromycota; Glomeromycetes; Glomerales; Glomeraceae.